AUACGGAGGGUGCGAGCGUUAAUCGGAAUUACUGUGCGUAAAGCGGACGUAGGCGGUUGGUUAAGUUAGAUUUUAAAGCCCCGGGCUUAACCUGGGAACUGCAUUCAAAACUGGCGCACUAGAGUUGAGUAGAGGGGAGUGGAAUUUCAGGUGUAGCGGUGAAAUGCGUAGAGAUCUGAAGGAACACCAGUGGCGAAGGCGACUCCCUGGACUCGAACUGACGCUGAGGUACGAAAGCGUGGGUAGCAAACGGGAUUAGAAACCCCUGUAGUCC
RNAcentral lists this ribosomal RNA (274 nucleotides) under uncultured bacterium. RNAcentral's name for it is "partial 16S ribosomal RNA". It matches the Rfam family "Bacterial small subunit ribosomal RNA", at positions 523 to 796 of the family's 1533-position model. The record is from RNAcentral.